This 465-nucleotide ribosomal RNA is filed under the name uncultured bacterium. Its description in RNAcentral is "bacterial SSU rRNA". It matches the Rfam family "Bacterial small subunit ribosomal RNA", at positions 40 to 523 of the family's 1533-position model. The record is from RNAcentral.
CGGCGUGCUUAAACAUGCAAGUCGAGUGCGCGGUUGUAGCAAUACAACUGGCGCACGGCGCACGGGUGCGUAACACGUGGGUAACCUGCCCUUUAGUGGGGAAUAACCCCGGGAAACCGGGGCUAAUACCGCAUAAGAUCCGCAAGGAUGAAAGCCGUAAGGCGCUGAUGGAGGGGCCCGCGCACGAUUAGCUAGUUGGUAGGGUAACGGCCUACCAAGGCUAUGAUCGUUAGCUGGUCUGAGAGGAUGGCCAGCCACACUGGAACUGAGACACGGUCCAGACUCCUACGGGAGGCAGCAGUGGGGAAUCUUGCACAAUGGGCGAAAGCCUGAUGCAGCGACGCCGCGUGGGGGAUGAAGCUUCUCGGAGUGUAAACCCCCUUUCGACCCGGACGAAUGCCCGCAAGGGAUUGACGGUACGGGUAUAAGAAGCCCCGGCUAACUACGUGCCAACAGCCGCGGUAA